AUUGAACGCUGGCGGCAGGCCUAACACAUGCAAGUCGAGCGGAUGAAGGGAGCUUGCUCCUGGAUUCAGCGGCGGACGGGUGAGUAAUGCCUAGGAAUCUGCCUGGCAGUGGGGGAUAACGUCCGGAAACGGGCGCUAAUACCGCAUACGUCCUGAGGGAGAAAGUGGGGGAUCUUCGGACCCCACGCGAUCUGAUGACCCUAGGUCGGAUUAGCUAGUUGGUGGGGUAAAGGCCUACCAAGGCGACGAUCCGUAACUGGUCUGAGAGGAUGAUCAGUCACACUGGAACUGAGACACGGUCCAGACUCCUACGGGAGGCAGCAGUGGGGAAUCUUGGACAAUGGGCGAAAGCCUGAUCCGGCCAUGCCGCGUGUGUGAAGAAGGUCUUCGGAUUGUAAAGCACUUUAAGUUGGGAGGAAGGGCAGUAAGUUAAUACCUUGCUGUUUUGACGUUACCAACAGAAUAAGCACCGGCUAACUUCGUG
This 484-nucleotide ribosomal RNA is filed under the name uncultured bacterium. RNAcentral describes it as "partial 16S ribosomal RNA". It matches the Rfam family "Bacterial small subunit ribosomal RNA", at positions 30 to 507 of the family's 1533-position model. The record is from RNAcentral.